AUUGAACGCUGGCGGCAUGCUUUACACAUGCAAGUCGAACGGUAACAGGCCGCAAGGUGCUGACGAGUGGCGAACGGGUGAGUAAUGCAUCGGAACGUGCCCAGUCGUGGGGGAUAACUACUCGAAAGAGUAGCUAAUACCCCAUACGAUCUAUGGAUGAAAGCGGGGGACCGUAAGGCCUCGCGCGAUUGGAGCGGCCGAUGUCAGAUUAGGUAGUUGGUGGGGUAAAGGCUCACCAAGCCAACGAUCUGUAGCUGGUCUGAGAGGACGACCAGCCACACUGGAACUGAGACACGGCCCAGACUCCUACGGGAGGCAGCAGUGGGGAAUUUUGGACAAUGGGCGCAAGCCUGAUGCAGCAAUGCCGCGUGCAGGAAGAGGGCCUUCGGGUUGUAAACUGCUUUUGUACGGAACGAAACGGCUCUGGUUAAUACCCGGGGCUAAUGACGGUACCGUAAGAAUAAGCACCGGCUAACUACGUG
This 482-nucleotide ribosomal RNA is filed under the name uncultured bacterium. RNAcentral describes it as "partial 16S ribosomal RNA". It matches the Rfam family "Bacterial small subunit ribosomal RNA", at positions 30 to 507 of the family's 1533-position model. The record is from RNAcentral.